UACGUAGGUGGCAAGCGUUGUCCGGAAUUAUUGGGCGUAAAGCGCGCGCAGGCGGUCUCUUAAGUCUGAUGUGAAAGCCCACGGCUCAACCGUGGAGGGUCAUUGGAAACUGGGGGACUUGAGUGCAGAAGAGGAAAGCGGAAUUCCACGUGUAGCGGUGAAAUGCGUAGAGAUGUGAGGAACACCAGUGGCGAAGGCGGCUUUCUGGUCUGUAACUGACGCUGAGGCGCGAAAGCGUGGGGAGCAAACAGG
Molecule: ribosomal RNA, 252 nt
Filed under: uncultured bacterium
Lineage: Bacteria
Description: partial 16S ribosomal RNA
Rfam family: Bacterial small subunit ribosomal RNA
Source: RNAcentral